AGUUUUUAUAGCAAUAUGAAGACCUAGAGCGGCGCACGGGUGAGUAACGCGUACACGACCUGGCCUAAACUGGGGGAUAGCCUUGGGAAACUGAGAGUAAUCCCGCAUGUGAUUAUGUUACUGAUGGUGAUAUAAUUAAAGCUUCGGCGGUUUAGGAUGGGUGUGCGUCUGAUUAGCUAGUUGGUAGUGUAACGGACUACCAAGGCGAUGAUCAGUAGGGGGCGUGAGAGCGUGACCCCCCACACGGGUACUGAGACACGGACCCGACUCCUACGGGAGGCAGCAGUAAGGAAUAUUGGUCAAUGCCCGGAAGGGUGAACCAGCCAUCCCGCGUGAAGGAUGAAGGGGCUCUGCCUUGUAAACUUCUUUUGUAUGGGGCGAAAAAAGGGGAUUUAUCCUCGACUGACGGUACCAUAAGAAUAAGCACCGGCUAACUCCGUGCCAGCAGCCGCGGUAAUACGGAGGGUGCGAACGUUAUCCGGAAUCACUGGGUUUAAAGGGUGCGUAGGCUGUUUAAUA
Molecule: ribosomal RNA, 519 nt
Filed under: uncultured bacterium
Lineage: Bacteria
Description: bacterial SSU rRNA
Rfam family: Bacterial small subunit ribosomal RNA
Source: RNAcentral